UUAACCCAUUUAACAAUUCAACCCAUCAAAUUAAAUGAGUUCAUGAGUUGACCCAAUUCAUUUUAUUAAAUGAAUUGGAUCAACUCAUGAACUCAUUUAACUCUAACCAUAAAUUCAUUGGAUAAUGAGU
Molecule: non-coding RNA, 130 nt
Organism: Arabidopsis thaliana x Arabidopsis arenosa
Lineage: Eukaryota; Viridiplantae; Streptophyta; Magnoliopsida; Brassicales; Brassicaceae
Source: the annotation of a GenBank genome assembly